UACGUAGGGGGCAAGCGUUGUCCGGAAUCAUUGGGCGUAAAGAGCGCGUAGGCGGCUCGAUAAGUCUGGUGUGAAAGUCCAGGGCUCAACCCUGGAAGGCCGGUGGAAACUGUCGGGCUAGAGUCCGGAAGAGGCGAGUGGAAUUCCCGGUGUAGCGGUGAAAUGCGCAGAUAUCGGGAGGAACACCAAUGGCGAAGGCAGCUCGCUGGGACGGUACUGACGCUGAGGCGCGAAAGCGUGGGGAGCAAACGGG
Molecule: ribosomal RNA, 253 nt
Filed under: uncultured bacterium
Lineage: Bacteria
Description: partial 16S ribosomal RNA
Rfam family: Bacterial small subunit ribosomal RNA
Source: RNAcentral